This 429-nucleotide ribosomal RNA is filed under the name Bacillota bacterium. RNAcentral describes it as "Firmicutes bacterium partial 16S ribosomal RNA". It matches the Rfam family "Bacterial small subunit ribosomal RNA", at positions 355 to 776 of the family's 1533-position model. Lineage: Bacteria; Bacillati; Bacillota. The record is from RNAcentral.
UAGGGAAUCUUCGGCAAUGGACGGAAGUCUGACCGAGCAACGCCGCGUGAGUGAAGAAGGUUUUCGGAUCGUAAAGCUCUGUUGCUAGAGAAGAACGUUGGUAGGAGUGGAAAAUCUACCAAGUGACGGUAACUAACCAGAAAGGGACGGCUAACUACGUGCCCGCAGCCGCGGUAAUACGUAGGUCCCGAGCGUUGUCCGGAUUUAUUGGGCGUAAAGCGAGCGCAGGCGGUUCUUUAAGUCUGAAGUUAAAGGCAGUGGCUUAACCAUUGUACGCUUUGGAAACUGGAGGACUUGAGUGCAGAAGGGGAGAGUGGAAUUCCAUGUGUGGCGGUGAAAUGCGUAGAUAUAUGGAGGAACACCGGUGGCGAAAGCGGCUCUCUUGUCUGUAACUGACGCUGAGGCUCGAAAGCGUGGGGAGCAAACAGG